Long non-coding RNA from Panicum virgatum (switchgrass), 665 nucleotides. RefSeq lists it as uncharacterized. The record is from RefSeq and is a predicted model, not a curated record. Lineage: Eukaryota; Viridiplantae; Streptophyta; Magnoliopsida; Poales; Poaceae. The transcript is spliced from 3 exons.
CAACGAGCUAGCGUUGCCGUACCGGCCCUUGCCUGCGAACCACGCACACGGACCGACAAAGAGGUGGCUCCUACAGUUCAGUGCGGACUACAUGAGGGCAGACGCAGACGACUUUACGGUUGCCAGGCAGUUCGAGGCCUACUUACUGUGGCUGUUCGGCUGGGUCAUGUUCUGCAGCUCCCAGGGUGACUCGUGCCCCCAAACAGCUCAUUCCUUUGGCGAGGUCGAUAGCUGAUGCUCCACUUCACGAGGUAACACAGUACAGCUGGGGUUCUGCCGUUUUGGCAGCGACUUACAGGGGUCUUUGCACGGGCGUGACGAAGGUCUCAGCAGAGGAGCCCAUUUUUGUUGGGUGUCCUCUACUGUUACAGCUCUGGUCGUACGAGCGCUUUCCCGUCGGUAGGCCAGAGAUGGACUUCGAGCCGUACGUCCAGCUGUCCGCAGACCACGACGACAUCGACAGACCUACGAUGGGUUCGUUGUGGUGCCUCAGGAGGCCUUCUUGGGUCGGCGUGCAGACGAGAAAGUCGUACCACGACUUCGUGGGACAGUUUGACGCUCUUGUCGACACGGACGUGAGGUGGACUCCGUACACUGCAGCCGACAUUUACGCUCGGGCACCGAGCGGUCUUUCGUCCUUAUGCCUGCGAGAUCACGAGUACUGG